Molecule: ribosomal RNA, 427 nt
Filed under: uncultured bacterium
Lineage: Bacteria
Description: bacterial SSU rRNA
Rfam family: Bacterial small subunit ribosomal RNA
Source: RNAcentral
UCGAGAAUUUUUCUCAAUGGGCGAAAGCCUGAAGGAGCGACGCCGCGUGGGGGAUGAAUGGCUUCGGCCCGUAAACCCCUGUCAUUUGCGAACAAACCUUAUUAUUUAAAAGAUGGUGAGCUGAUUGUAGCGAAAGAGGAAGGGACGGCUAACUCUGUGCCAACAGCCGCGGUAAUACAGAGGUCCCAAGCGUUGUUCGGAUUCACUGGGCGUAAAGGGUGCGUAGGUGGCGGGGUAAGUCUGAUGUGAAAGCUUCGAGCUCAACUCGAAAAUGGCAUUGGAUACUAUUCUGCUAGAGGUUUGGAGGGGGGACUGGAAUUCUCGGUGUAGCAGUGAAAUGCGUAGAUAUCGAGAGGAACACCGGUGGCGAAGGCGAGUCCCUGGACAACACCUGACACUGAGGCACGAAAGCUAGGGGAGCAAACAG